Drosophila pseudoobscura is the source of this 863-nucleotide long non-coding RNA. RefSeq lists it as uncharacterized. The record is from RefSeq and is a predicted model, not a curated record. The transcript has 4 exons. Lineage: Eukaryota; Metazoa; Arthropoda; Insecta; Diptera; Drosophilidae.
CAAAAUUUGAAGUCUUCAAUAUGAUCAUUUUGUGGUUUCUCUUAUACUGCUACUUGUGCCUUUGUUGUUACGUUUAUAUGAUCGAAAUGUUUAACUGGUACGACGAAGUCGACCUACUCAAUGUCGUCGAUCUGAUGGGUAAUUACCUUUGAAAGACAGGAAAAACAGGCACCGAGCACUGCAUCUUGGCCUGGUAGCGGCCUUCUUCGGUGUUGGGCCACCAGAUUUCGUCCUUUUUCAACCAAUGGUCUAUAUCUGUAAGGAGUAGGAACACGAGCCAUGUGAAAGAUUCCCGAAAUCAGUCCCUUUGAUGUAUAAGGCCCCACGGAUGAUCGGGAAUACUGUUUCAAAUGCGCUUUGAUCCGUUUAUUAGAUUUACAUUAAAAUUGUAAGUUUUCUGGAAACUUACAUUUUUGUGGAGUGUUUUUCUAGGACGACUAAGAUCGUUCAUAUUGUAAAGAAUUUUCCAAAUCAAGUAGCCCGAGAAUUGGGCUGUAAGUACGCCCCUUUUUGGCCAGGUUUGCUGUGGUCUGUGACUACCUUUGAAGCAGGUCCCACAGAAUAUCUUCCAUAUGGUUUUUAUAGAACAUUUUCAGAAGCCCCGGAGCAGGACCAUGCAGGAGCGCACUAGCAUGCCGGAUAUGAAGAAACCUGUGGAGUAGAAAAUGAAUAAUGAAAAUGUUUAAUUCGCAAACACCCGUUUUUUUGAGAGCCAUAGUCCGAAGUUAAGCGCAUUAAAGAUAAUUGAAAUUUAUAUUAUGUAAAUUGCCAGUAGCGGGAAAAGUAAAAGUGGCAAAUGGGUGCAAAAACUGUUUCCCAAGAAUACAAAAAAAAGGAAAGCAAAAAAUUUUUUUCUCAUCAUA